UACGGAGGGGGCGAGCGUUAAUCGGAAUCACUGGGCGUAAAGCGCACGUAGGCGACUCCGCGAGUCGGGGGUGAAAUCGUCCCGCCCAACGGGACAAGGGCCUCCGAGACCGCGGGACUCGAGGGGGAUAGGGGUGCGCGGAACUUCCGGUGGAGCGGCGAAAUGCGUAGAUAUCGGAAGGAACGCCGGUGGCGAAAGCGGCGCACUGGAUCCCUACUGACGCUGAGGCGCGAAAGCCAGGGGAGCAAACGGG
Molecule: ribosomal RNA, 253 nt
Filed under: uncultured bacterium
Lineage: Bacteria
Description: partial 16S ribosomal RNA
Rfam family: Bacterial small subunit ribosomal RNA
Source: RNAcentral